RNAcentral lists this ribosomal RNA (450 nucleotides) under uncultured bacterium. RNAcentral's name for it is "bacterial SSU rRNA". It matches the Rfam family "Bacterial small subunit ribosomal RNA", at positions 354 to 796 of the family's 1533-position model. The record is from RNAcentral.
GUGGGGAAUAUUGGACAAUGGGCGCAAGCCUGAUCCAGCCAUGCCGCGUGUGUGAAGAAGGCCUUCGGGUUCUAAAGCCCUUUUGUACGGGAAGAAAUCAUUAGGGUUAAUACCCUGGGUGGAUGACGGUACCGUAAGAAUAAGCACCGGCUAACUUCGUGCCAGCAGCCGCGGUAAUACGAAGGGUGCAAGCGUUAAUCGGAAUUACUGGGCGUAAAGCGUGCGCAGGCGGUUUUGUAAGACAGGCGUGAAAUCCCCGGGCUCAACCUGGGAAUUGCGCUUGUGACUGCAAGGCUGGAGUGCGGCAGAGGGGGAUGGAAUUCCGCGUGUAGCAGUGAAAUGCGUAGAUAUGCGGAGGAACACCGAUGGCGAAGGCAAUCCCCUGGGCCUGCACUGACGCUCAUGCACGAAAGCGUGGGGAGCAAACAGGAUUAGAAACCCUGGUAGUCC